CAGUCGCCGCGGGAAUACGAAGGGGGCUAGCGUUGUUCGGAUUUACUGGGCGUAAAGCGCACGUAGGCGGACUUUUAAGUCAGGGGUGAAAUCCCGGGGCUCAACCCCGGAACUGCCUUUGAUACUGGAAGUCUUGAGUAUGGUAGAGGUGAGUGGAAUUCCGAGUGUAGAGGUGAAAUUCGUAGAUAUUCGGAGGAACACCAGUGGCGAAGGCGGCUCACUGGACCAUUACUGACGCUGAGGUGCGAAAGCGUGGGGAGCAAACAGGAUUAGAGACCCGAGUAGUCCCUGUCUCUUAUAC
Molecule: ribosomal RNA, 301 nt
Filed under: uncultured bacterium
Lineage: Bacteria
Description: partial 16S ribosomal RNA
Rfam family: Bacterial small subunit ribosomal RNA
Source: RNAcentral